UGGGGCGUCGUCAAGCGGUAAGACACAAGGUUUUGAUCCUUGCAUUCGGGGGUUCGAAUCCUCCCGCCCCAGCCA
This 75-nucleotide transfer RNA is filed under the name Desulfobulbus sp. RNAcentral describes it as "tRNA-Gln". It matches the Rfam family "tRNA". From Rfam's summary of the family: Transfer RNA (tRNA) molecules are approximately 80 nucleotides in length. Their secondary structure includes four short double-helical elements and three loops (D, anti-codon, and T loops). RNAcentral also lists the same sequence under 4 other names. Lineage: Bacteria; Pseudomonadati; Thermodesulfobacteriota; Desulfobulbia; Desulfobulbales; Desulfobulbaceae. The record is from RNAcentral.